RNAcentral lists this unclassified non-coding RNA (172 nucleotides) under uncultured Eurotiomycetes. RNAcentral's name for it is "sequence contains ITS2". Lineage: Eukaryota; Fungi; Ascomycota; Eurotiomycetes. The record is from RNAcentral.
UCACCCCUCAAGCCCCGCGCUUGGUGUUGGACGGCCGGUCGAGCGAUCGACCCCUCCUAAAGACAAUGACGGCGGCCUGCGGUUCCCCCGGUACACUGAGCUUUUCACCGGAGCACGUAUCGGACGAGGGCACCCGGGACCCGGUCCUCUCCUUUCACAAGGAAACUUCUAU